CACCCCUCAAGCUCUGCUUGGUGUUGGGCGUCACCAUCCCGGUGCGCCUUAAAGACAGUGGCGGUGCCAUUGGGCUUCAAGCGUAGUAAUACUUCUCGCUUUGGAGGACCCGGUGCGUGCUGGCCAGUAACCCCCAAACUUUCUUA
RNAcentral lists this unclassified non-coding RNA (146 nucleotides) under uncultured Ascomycota. RNAcentral's name for it is "sequence contains ITS2". Lineage: Eukaryota; Fungi; Ascomycota. The record is from RNAcentral.